This 294-nucleotide unclassified non-coding RNA is filed under the name uncultured fungus. RNAcentral describes it as "sequence contains ITS1". Lineage: Eukaryota; Fungi. The record is from RNAcentral.
GGACUACCAGGGUAUCUAAUCCUGUUUGCUCCCCACGCUUUCGUGCAUGAGCGUCAGUGUUAUCCCAGGGGGCUGCCUUCGCCAUUGGUAUUCCUCCACAUAUCUACGCAUUUCACUGCUACACGUGGAAUUCUACCCCCCUCUGACACACUCUAGUCAUACAGUCACAGACGCCAUUCCCAGGUCAAGCCCGGGGAUUUCACGCCUGUCUUGUAUAACCGCCUGCGCACGCUUUACGCCCAGUAAUUCCGAUUAACGCUUGCACCCUACGUAUUACCGCGGCGGCUGGCACCA